Paramuricea clavata is the source of this 593-nucleotide non-coding RNA. The record is from the annotation of a GenBank genome assembly. NCBI's taxonomy places the organism in Eukaryota, Metazoa, Cnidaria, Anthozoa, Malacalcyonacea, Plexauridae.
AUGUUUUAAAAUAUUUAAUGAAAUACGAAAUCAAUUGCACACUGUACAUCUACAAUCGAAAGUGUCGAGUAAGCGAUGUCUAAUGCCUGACCAUGUCUAUGUUAAACCUAUUUCAUUGAAGCUAGUGCAUCUAUCUGUGCUUGCAGUGCUUUACUUUAGUUUCUAAAAUAUUCUAUCGUCUGUAUUCUAAAAGCUCACUCACACUCAAUGAGUGGAGGUUCAAUCUGAAUAUAGUAGUCUGACCAUGUCAUUCUAUGCCCGUUUAUCUAGUAUUAAAGUUUAGAUAAUCUUAUUUUAUGAAGCGAGUGCCUGUCUGCUGUGCUCGCUAAAUCAGUUUCAGUUCUUAUGGCUUAAUUUCAGUUUGUGGUGUCAUCGCUAUAUAUCCACCACUUGCCCCUGGUGGAUACACUGUCCCUUGAGGUUGAUAUUCUGGUGGGGGUUGGUUGGGAUUUGCUUGAGGGUUUUGAAAAUACAUUGGCUGUCCUUCUUGUGCAGGGUAUUGUUGUUGCUGUUGUUGUUGCUGGGUUGCAAAGACUGUAGUUCCUGUGGUUGUAGGUUGUGUUACUACAACACCACCAUGAGCAGGACGUCUC